CAAAGGCACCCAGUAGCAAACUGGAGAAGGGGUUUAAAAUGUACGCCUCCUCCUACAUUCAUGAAUACGAAGGUGAGUCUGUCAUUCUUGUAUUUUUGUAUCGUCACGGUUAACUAGCUAGCGUUAGCUAGUUGUAGGCUAAUGUAAACAUUGCGUUACCUCAGCGAUAGUAUCGUUAGUAUCUGUGAGGUGAAUAUUUUUUCAGCUAAGUUAAGAAUUUAUGAUUUAACAUGUUUAAGUAUAUAAUUCGAUAUAGCCUAUACAUGAUUGUAACGUUACUUGAAGUACUCUGCUGUAAUCUGUGUGUGUGUAAUUCAUAGUGUCAAAUAAAGACAGGGCGACAGGAGAGGUAGCUGUGCGGGCUUCGUGCUUCAGGUCGAUGAGGAAGCACGAAAAACCUCAUACAGUGAAAGUAGGGUGCCAUUGGUAGUAUAUUGGUUCGAGUUCAACUGUUCUGAGACGUUCAAUCUCAGCUGUUCGUAGAGGUUUAAGUUAGGGUGACCAGAUAACAAAUAUCCGACGAGGCAAAAUCCCGGACGAUUUUGGAAUCAAUUUUUUAGGUCUCAAAAAGAGCACAUGUCCGGGUAAAAGAGGACGUCUGGUCACCCUAUUUAAGUUCAAGAUUUGUACAUUUAAGGUAAAUAGGAGUGUAUGUCUUCAGGGUACUUGUUGUGACCACAAGUCUCUAUUUGAACACACCAUUUAAGGAGGGUGCUCCAUCUCAUGCCAACAGUUUGUUUGUAAGCCAAAUAUAUUCAUAUGUACUGACUGAAAAUGAUCUAUCAACAGAUUGUUCUCCGAGAUACAGUGCCUGUCAUCUUGGUGAUGUGCAGGUGCUCAUGUGUGGCUGGUACUGCCAUGUGCAACCACACAGUUGCUCUGCUGUUCCAGACAGCCCACUUCUCCCAGCUCAGUGUGCCAGUGGUUCCACCGGUUCACAGCUGUACAGAAGAGGAGCAACAAUGGCACAAACCACGGACAGCUGGUAUAAAACCAGGACCAGUUGGCAAGAUGGUGGUUACAAAGCCUGUGCAAGGCCGGAUGUGUAAAGGCGGCUUACGGAGUACUCUGAUGAGAGGGAUGGUUGGCCCACUUCCUGACCUGUCUGUGCUGCAUGUGACAGAGGCAUACAGUGGACUAGAUCUACAAGAUAGGCCAAUGGUGACAACAAUGGGUAUGAGUGCGAACAAAACACUAGCAGAGUCAGAGUUUGGACCGGUGCAGAGAGGAAGUGUUUUAUCCUAUCAACAGCCCAAACUCCUCUCUAAAAACAUUGUGUGGCAUCCGAAUGCUCCACCCUCUCCCAAUCUUCCCCUGGAGG
This is a long non-coding RNA of Osmerus eperlanus (European smelt), 1321 nucleotides long. RefSeq lists it as uncharacterized. The record is from RefSeq and is a predicted model, not a curated record. The transcript has 3 exons. NCBI's taxonomy places the organism in Eukaryota, Metazoa, Chordata, Actinopteri, Osmeriformes, Osmeridae.